AUUGAACGCUGGCGGCAUGCUUUACACAUGCAAGUCGAACGGUAACAGGCCUUCGGGUGCUGACGAGUGGCGAACGGGUGAGUAAUGCAUCGGAACGUACAGAGGUGGGGGAUAACGCAGCGAAAGCUGUGCUAAUACCGCAUGUGAUCUGAGGAUGAAAGCGGGGGACCGAGCAGCAAUGUUUGGCCUCGCGCCUUUGGAGCGGCCGAUGUCGGAUUAGCUAGUUGGUGGGGUAAAGGCCUACCAAGGCGACGAUCCGUAGCUGGUCUGAGAGGACGACCAGCCACACUGGGACUGAGACACGGCCCAGACUCCUACGGGAGGCAGCAGUGGGGAAUUUUGGACAAUGGGCGCAAGCCUGAUCCAGCAAUGCCGCGUGCGGGAAGAAGGCCUUCGGGUUGUAAACCGCUUUUGGCAGGAACGAAACGGUGUCCGCUAAUACCGGGCGCUAAUGACGGUACCUGCAGAAUAAGCACCGGCUAACUACGUG
Molecule: ribosomal RNA, 490 nt
Filed under: uncultured bacterium
Lineage: Bacteria
Description: partial 16S ribosomal RNA
Rfam family: Bacterial small subunit ribosomal RNA
Source: RNAcentral